Molecule: ribosomal RNA, 381 nt
Filed under: uncultured Thermovirga sp.
Lineage: Bacteria; Thermotogati; Synergistota; Synergistia; Synergistales; Thermovirgaceae
Description: bacterial SSU rRNA
Rfam family: Bacterial small subunit ribosomal RNA
Source: RNAcentral
AGAAGGACUUACUCUUCGGAGUGAGAGCGUACACAGGUGCUGCAUGGCUGUCGUCAGCUCGUGUCGUGAGAUGUUGGGUUAAGUCCCGCAACGAGCGCAGCCCUGCAUUCAGUUGCCAUCGGUAAGGCCGGGCACUCUGGAUGGACUGCCGGCGACAAGCCGGAGGAAGGUGGGGACGACGUCAAGUCAUCAUGGCCCUUAUGUCCAGGGCGACACACGUGCUACAAUGGCCGGCACAACGGGAAGCGAAGGGGCGACCCUGAGCGGAUCCCACAAAAGCCGGUCCCAGUUCGGAUUGCAGUCUGCAACUCGACUGCAUGAAGUUGGAAUCGCUAGUAAUCGUGGAUCAGCCAAGCCGCGGUGAAUACGUUCCCGGGCCUU